Molecule: transfer RNA, 65 nt
Filed under: Chroomonas cf. mesostigmatica
Lineage: Eukaryota; Cryptophyceae; Pyrenomonadales; Chroomonadaceae
Source: RNAcentral
AGUAUUCUUUGGUAGCUUUAUGUGGUAAUUUCGAAAAUUCAAUUUAUUUUUUUACGAAAUUUUCA